GACAGAGGGUGCAAACGUUGUUCGGAAUUACUGGGCGUAAAGCGCGUGUAGGCUGCUUCGAAAGUCGGAUGUGAAAGCCCUGGGCUCAACCUAGGAAGUGCAUUCGAAACUUCGAGCUGGAGUCCUGGAGAGGAAGGCGGAAUUCUCGGUGUAGAGGUGAAAUUCGUAGAUAUCGAGAGGAACACCGGUGGCGAAGGGCGGCCUUACUGGACA
RNAcentral lists this ribosomal RNA (213 nucleotides) under uncultured bacterium. RNAcentral's name for it is "partial 16S ribosomal RNA". It matches the Rfam family "Bacterial small subunit ribosomal RNA", at positions 524 to 735 of the family's 1533-position model. The record is from RNAcentral.